AGAGUUUGAUCCUGGCUCAGGACGAACGCUGGCGGCACGCCUAACACAUGCAAGUCGAACGGAGAUGAUUUGAGUUUACUUAGAUCAUCUUAGUGGCGGACGGGUGAGUAACACGUGAGCAACCUGCCUUUGAGAGAGGGAUAGCUUCUGGAAACGGAUGGUAAUACCUCAUAACAUACAGAUACCGCAUGGUGACUGUAUCAAAGAUUUAUCACUCAAGGAUGGGCUCGCGUCUGAUUAGAUAGUUGGUGAGGUAACGGCUCACCAAGUCGACGAUCAGUAGCCGGACUGAGAGGUUGAACGGCCACAUUGGGACUGAGACACGGCCCAGACUCCUACGGGAGGCAGCAGUGGGGAAUAUUGCACAAUGGGGGAAACCCUGAUGCAGCGAUGCCGCGUGGAGGAAGAAGGUUUUCGGAUUGUAAACUCCUGUCUUAAAGGACGAUAAUGACGGUACUUUAGGAGGAAGCUCCGGCUAACUACGUGCCAGCAGCCGCGGUAAUACGUAGGGAGCGAGCGUUGUCCGGAAUUACUGGGUGUAAAGGGAGCGUAGGCGGGACGGCAAGUCAGAUGUGAAAUACAUGGGCUCAACCCAUGGGCUGCAUUUGAAACUGCUGUUCUUGAGUGAAGUAGAGGUAAGCGGAAUUCCUGGUGUAGCGGUGAAAUGCGUAGAUAUCAGGAGGAACACCGGUGGCGAAGGCGGCUUACUGGGCUUUUACUGACGCUGAGGCUCGAAAGCGUGGGGAGCAAACAGGAUUACAUACCCUGGUAGUCCACGCGGUAAACGAUGAUGCUCGCUGUUUGCGUCUGACGUAAGCGGCCAAGCGAAAGCGUUAAGCAUCCAACCUGGGGAGUACGCCGGCAACGGUGAAACUCAAUGGAAUUGACGGGGGCCCGCACAAGCGGAGGAACAUGUGGUUUAAUUCGACGAUACGCGAGGAACCUUACCCGGGCUUGAACUGCAGGCUAACGAUUCAGAGAUGAUGAGGCCCUUCGGGGCGCCUGUGGAGGUGCUGCAUGGUUGUCGUCAGCUCGUGCCGUGAGGUGUCGGCUUAAGUGCCAUAACGAGCGCAACCCUUGUUCGUAGUUGCCAUCGGGUUAUGCCGGGCACUCUGCGAAGACUGCCUCCGUAAGGAGUGAGGAAGGUGGGGAUGACGUCAAAUCAGCACGGCCCUUACGUCCGGGGCUACACACGUGUUACAAUGGCAUGUACAGAAAGCUGGGUGUAUGCAAAUACGCUCGAAUCCCUAAAACAUGUCUCAGUUCGGACUGGGGUCUGCAACCCGACCCCACGAAGCUGGAUUCGCUAGUAAUCGCGCAUCAGCCAUGGCGCGGUGAAUACGUUCCCGGGCCUUGUACACACCGCCCGUCAAGCCAUGAAAGCCGGGGGCGCCUAAAGUCCGUGACCGCGAGGGUCGGCCUAGGGUGAAACCGGUGAUUGGGGCUAAGUCGUAACAAGGUA
This 1462-nucleotide ribosomal RNA is filed under the name metagenome. RNAcentral's name for it is "bacterial SSU rRNA". It matches the Rfam family "Bacterial small subunit ribosomal RNA". The record is from RNAcentral.